UACGUAGGGUGCGAGCGUUGUCCGGAAUUAUUGGGCGUAAAGAGCUUGUAGGCGGUUUGUCGCGUCUGCUGUGAAAGCUCGGGGCUUAACUCCGAGUUUGCAGUGGGUACGGGCAGACUAGAGUGUGGUAGGGGAGACUGGAAUUCCUGGUGUAGCGGUGGAAUGCGCAGAUAUCAGGAGGAACGCCGAUGGCGAAGGCAGGUCUCUGGGCCAUUACUGACGCUGAGAAGCGAAAGCAUGGGUAGCGAACAGG
This 253-nucleotide unclassified non-coding RNA is filed under the name uncultured Micrococcales bacterium. Its description in RNAcentral is "contains 16S-23S intergenic spacer region". It matches the Rfam family "Bacterial small subunit ribosomal RNA", at positions 524 to 776 of the family's 1533-position model. The record is from RNAcentral. Lineage: Bacteria; Bacillati; Actinomycetota; Actinomycetes; Micrococcales.